This 484-nucleotide ribosomal RNA is filed under the name uncultured bacterium. Its description in RNAcentral is "partial 16S ribosomal RNA". It matches the Rfam family "Bacterial small subunit ribosomal RNA", at positions 30 to 507 of the family's 1533-position model. The record is from RNAcentral.
AUUGAACGCUGGCGGCAUGCUUUACACAUGCAAGUCGAACGGUAACAGGGAGCUUGCUCCGCUGACGAGUGGCGAACGGGUGAGUAAUAUAUCGGAACGUACCCAAGAGUGGGGGAUAACGUAGCGAAAGUUACGCUAAUACCGCAUACGAUCUAUGGAUGAAAGCAGGGGACCUUCGGGCCUUGUGCUCCUGGAGCGGCCGAUAUCUGAUUAGCUAGUUGGUGAGGUAAAGGCUCACCAAGGCGACGAUCAGUAGCUGGUCUGAGAGGACGACCAGCCGCACUGGAACUGAGACACGGUCCAGACUCCUACGGGAGGCAGCAGUGGGGAAUUUUGGACAAUGGGCGCAAGCCUGAUCCAGCAAUGCCGCGUGAGUGAAGAAGGCCUUCGGGUUGUAAAGCUCUUUUGUCAGGGAAGAAACGGCUGUGGCUAAUAUCCACGGCUAAUGACGGUACCUGAAGAAUAAGCACCGGCUAACUACGUG